UUUUCCUUUUUUUUCCUUUUUUAAAUUUUUUAAAACAUUUUCUUAUCCCACUUCCCUCGUGGGACUGGAAGCAGGAUCCGCGUCCCUGAAAUUGCUAUGCCAGCUGAACUCUCCCGGGCCGUGGGAAUGCACGCCAUCUCCGACCUGCACUCCUCCCUCCCCCUGCGGCUCCUCAACAAGGGGCCCGAGUACCUCCGCAGGCAGCUGGAGGCCGGCAAGCCGGGCAGGAAAAGUGCCGUGGAGAGACUGGCCGCCGACAAGGCCAAGUACGUAAAGAGCCAGCAGGUCAUCGGCAGCAGGCAGGACCCCGUCAUCGCGCUCAGCUCAGCCUCGGAGAGCAGCAGCGAGACCUGCUCCGUGGAGAGCAGGGCGGCGAGCCGGGAGCCGGGCAGGGGCAGGGGCGCGGGCGCGAAGCCCCGGGAGCCGGGCACGGCCGGGGGCUCCUGCCGGGCCCCCCUGCAGCACGGCCCCCCCAUCGCCAGGCGCAGCACCAAGAGGCAGAUGCGGCCCGAUUCCCUGGUGAUCUACCGCCAGAAAUGUGAGCUCGGCAGGGGUCAAAGCCAGGACAGCUCGCGGGGGAAUUUGGUGAGGAGGAUCUUCAAUGGGUCCAUAAAGGAGAAGCAGUUGGCUUCCCCUGCGUUGCCCAGAGUCAUGGAGGACAUCGCCGCCACCGAGAGCAGCGAGCCUGUCUCAGCAAAAGAUGGUGACCGUGAGCCAAGCGACCAUGGAGCGGUGCAGACUAUCCCUGUGAGCACUGAAGGGGCAGGGGUAUGUACAAAAGAGCAUGAGAGACCCUCGAAACUGAGUACACCUCCUGAAGAGAUCAAGGAGGUGAAGAGGAGAGGUCUCCAUCGCUCCCAGUCAGACAUCAGCUCUCGCUACUCCAAGUCCUUCGCUGAGUUUGAAACAUUUUUCAAGUACUGUGGCCUGGAGCAGGAGGUCAUUGAGGACCUUGGGCGAGAGAACUUCUCUGUGGUGUCUGACAAUGUCUCCUUCAAGGUGCGCAGCAUCAGCGUGGCCACCUCGGAGAGCGAGUUCACUCGGCACAGCGGGGACGACGGGCUGCUGGAGGACGAGCUCACGGAGCAGGUCCCCAGCAGCACCUCCGUGAUUGAGCGCAACGCUCGGAUAAUCAAGUGGUUGUACACGUGUAAGAAAGCCAAGGAGAGCAAUAAGGUGAUCCAGGAACUGGCGUGAUGCCUUCAUCCAGCUUGCGUUGGAGCCUGGUGAGCUCAAGGCACCCCCAAGUAUCAGAAAACCAAAACUGAAUCAGUGCCCUGCUAUGAAUCUUAUUUCCUCUGUGGCUUCCUGUUGGGACUCUAAAAGUUUGUUCCAGAAUUGGAAGAAAUGACUUGGAAGUUGAACAAAACCAGAUGCAGGAAGAAACUGUUCCCUCAUCUGGCUUAUGCGUACUUUGUACAAGUUUAGUAUUUUGUUGUUGUUUCCUACCUUCACCCCCAUCCCGUGGAAGUCUCACUCUUGUCAAGCCCAAGGAUGUCCAAGGCUGCAAUGAAAAGUGGAGAUUGUGAACUGUGCCCCAGCAAGACAGCAGGAAACAAAAUCCCCUGGAAAAUUGAAGCGUGGCAGCAGUUGCCAUCUGCAAUAGUAUUCAGUCAGCUCACUGCCUCAGGAUGUCAUUCCAGAUGUGACAGAAGGUCUGUUGUGUGCACCCAUCUCUUUCCAGCAAUGAAUUUGUCAACAGGGAUGGGGGGACAAAGUGGGAAUGAAGUGGCAAUGACCUCUGGGUCGGGUGUUCCCUUGCAGACAGACUCCACCUGGAUGUCCAAAGGCUCUGCCUUACCAGAGCUUUUGAUCAGAGCUCAUCCUGACAUCAUUCACCAUCAUUUGCUUGGCUGGUGAGGACUCACUGUGGUGGCCUAUUCUGAAAUACUUGGCAAACAUGUGAGCUAAAUCCCUGCCAAACCUCUUUCCUUGAGAGCAUGCAAGCCAAGUCAGUGUACCUUGUAUCCAUCUAGUUUGCUCUUGCUGGGUUGUCACACAGUUUGCUCAGCCAUGGGGAAAGAAUAGCACCAAAUACUUCCAGGAAACAGGUAUUGAGGGAGGUUCUGCAUUGUUUCUGCCUUGCAGAACAGUACAGCUUGUUUGCAAUAUGUGCCUGAGUCUGACAUGGCACACAUGGCAAGGUUUGGCAGUCGUGGUGUAACACCUUUGGUUUUAGGCAGUGAGCAGGCUGCUACAGCAUGGCACAGCAUAGGGAGCUAUGCCAGGCUGUGUUGGGCCACACUUCCCCAGUGUGGGUCUGCACUAGGGCUGUGCAGGGCAGGAGGGCAUGUUAGGGCACCGCCAGGCCAGGGAAUGUCCUGAUGGCACCCAGUGCAGACAACACCUCACUCAGUGUCAUCAGUAAAAUGCUUCAUUUGGGCUGCCUGAGCUAAACAUGUUUUAAAAGGUGAUACUUGGAUCAUUAGUGUAGUGAAUGAGGCCUCUGCAGUAACUCAUGGAAUUUGCUGGCUAUGCAUCAAACAUCCCAAUUUGUCAUUGCUUGCUAGAAAAUCAAAGCAUUUCUGGAUGGACAUUGCAAACCACAAAACAAUAAAAAAAAUAAAAAAAAAAAAAAAGCCAAAGCCACUUUCCCUUUCAUUUGCAGUGAUACCCAUCUGUGAAAGCUGCCUGACUGGCACAAUGUUGACUUCAGUUGUUGGUCCUGCAGAAGUUAAAAACUUACUUUGAGUUACCAUGGUUGUGGAAGAGUUGUCCUUGAGGAGCUCAUCGACAUCAGCUAAAUAUCAUCUGAGUUGCACUUCCAUGGGUUUGAAUGUGCUUGUCAGUCCUUGGAUGGUUAGUUCUCAAUUACAGCACCAGUUUGGAAAUGCAAUGUCUUCUGUUUCUAGUGUUAGGUGCUAAGGCCUACGUGUCUGAAGUUCUUAAGAUAACUAGAUAACCAUUCCAGUAAAAAUAAUUGUGGAACCACUUUUCAGCUGGAGAAAACAAAGUAGUUUGUGUGAGUUCCUUCAAACUUGGAGAGAAGGUAGCAUAUGUGGAUAUUUUCUUACAUAACGAAAUCUCCAUAUAUAUUUGUUACAUUAUUAUGAAAGGAUGAUUCUCAGAAAACGUCAAGAUGCUGCUAGUAUGAUAAGAUUUAUACACUGAAGAUGCAGGUUUUUAAGGAUCACAGUCUAGGUUUAUUAGUCAGGAGCAUAAUCUGAUGUAUUUGUUCUGUUCAUGCUCCCAGCAAGAUGCUGUACCACAUAUAUAUUUAUAUAUCAGAGCUAAGGAAUGCUUUUUUUCAAAAACAUGGAUUACUGUACAUAGUUCAGAGUGCAGGAAAAAUCUUUUGAGUUACAAUCCAGUGCCCUGCCACAGGAGAAGAGAAUUAAUUUGUUUUGUUUCCAAGGAAAAUUUUUGUUUCAUUUUCUAACUUCUAUUUGUUGUUCCUCUGUCCAUUGAGCAGCUUUCAAAAGCUAAGAUGAAAGAUGUAUUACUCAUGAGUUUUCAAUAUUAGGAAGGAAUAUGUUUAAUUUGCUUGAAAAUACUGAACAUCAGCCUUUCUGAAAAUCGAUGAGGGUUGUAUGGCAGAGGCUAGUGAAAUCAGAAUUGGACCCAUUCUGAAUACUUUUUUAAUCCCUCUUUUUGUUUUUAUGGAUAGGUCAAUAGGGUUCAGGUGACUUUCCACACUGAUGUGGCAAAAUUUCUCUGGCUUUGUUCAAACUCUGUGGGAAUCCCAAGCACUCCCAUUUAUUUCAGAGGUGAUGUGGACCUGGAUCUUUUCCUGUUAAGCUGUAGAUUUCCUUUAUUUAAUAAUACCUUCUGGGGAAGCUAAUAAUUGUCAUUUCCUAUAUGUCAGAACAAAAAUAGAUGACAGCUUUCUUUCCCCAUACAUUUUGGGAAUGGCUAAUUCAGUGGUUUUUCCAAGUGAUGAGAGCUCUGGUGUUCAUUCCACUCCUGUUACUGUUACAUGUAGAGGGUUUUCCUUUCUUCUGCUGGGCCUUUCAGUUCUUUCAACAAGAACUUGCUAAUCCUAGCCACUACCUAUCUUUUUCUCAAAAAGAAAAGAUUUUUUCUUUAGUAUUUGGGAUGGGUGGAAUUUCCCAGCUUUGGUGUUAAACUGGAAAAGUGGGCUGUUGCAGUUGGAACAGAAGUUUUAGCAAUGGAGCUGAUUUUUCAAUAGUCUAGGGAGCCUAAAAUGGCAGCUGAUGACAAAGGCUAGCCAUAAAUUGAAUUAUUUUGUUUGACUAGAACCAUGUAAACAAAAUAGUCAAAUGGGAUGCAAGUGUACAGAACAAAUUGCUGUUUACACCCAGGUGUUUCAUGGUUCUCCAGUGCUGUGACAAGGGGCAAUGUCUGCAGCUGUGGCAUAACGGGAGAAAGGUACAAAGUCUGGGGUUUAUGGUCUGGAAUAUGGAGAUAAGAGUGAAAUCUUUGCAAUAUAUUGUAAAUAUUACUGUACAGAAAUCUAUAAGAAAUACAGAUUUUAUAUAUAUAUAUAUAUAUAUAUAUAUAUAU
Non-coding RNA from Zonotrichia albicollis (white-throated sparrow), 4464 nucleotides. The record is from RefSeq and is a predicted model, not a curated record. NCBI's taxonomy places the organism in Eukaryota, Metazoa, Chordata, Aves, Passeriformes, Passerellidae.